GGAGGGCCACUGGUCCUGCCACAUUGGACUCAGCUGUCAGCUGCAGAAGCCCACAAACACUGGGCAUGUUACCUAAGCAGAACCCUGCAAAGUUCCAAGCCAGGCUCAUGACUCAGUGGGGGAAGCAGUGUUUCUCCCUGAAUCAGCCCCAGCCAGGCCACAUCUGAGGCUUAGCCCAGCCAAGAGUCCAGCCACUGCCCAGCUGCCUGUGGACACACGGGCCCUGUGCUGUCUCAGCUGAGAGGUCCCCAUCUACUGACUCACUCGCACCUGGGGCUUCUUGGCUGGUCAUCUGGAAAGGUACAAACUGAAGUUUUCUUUAUCCAAGGCAAUCUUUUAGAAGUCACCCUACGUUUCUUCAAAGUGUCUGGACGCAGUGUGGAGCGUGGUUUAUUUCGUCCAUGUUGCGGCAGCCUGUGUUGGAACUCGCUGAGGUUUGAAGCCUGUCAUCAACAUACAGACUGACAUGAACUUUCAAUGGGAGUCACAGAGGGCUGUACGGGCAAACAGGAGAAAUGACAGGGUACCAAAGACCGCCCUGUCAGCUGAAGGGCACCCUGGAUGCCUGUCUCUGAGCCCUCACACUCCUGUAACCUGUGAAGAGUGGGCAAGCAGAACAGGUGAUGGGUCAUGCAUCUUCCUGACACACUGUGAAGCAGGAAGAAACAGGAACAGUAGCUCUGUGUUACACGUGAGGAGCGAGAAGCACCAACAUGGUUGCUGUCCUGGAACUCACAAAGCAGGCUGCCUGGGCUUGCCAGGGAAGCCCCAGGAAUCUGCCUGUCUCCAUCGUCAUCUCCCCAGUACUGGAGUUACAAGUGUGAGCCAACGCAACUGGCCUUUUCCCAUUGGCUCUGGGGAUGGACUCAGAUCCUCAGGCACUUGCCUGACUGGGCUUCCCUCUUCAGCCCCUUUCUUCCACAAUUCUUAGAUCAUUAUAAGUAAAACGUUAUUAGUGAAUAUGUAUCAUGUUUUUCUCAUGUAUUAUUGUUGUAUUAUUAUAUACGGAUAUAUCAUCAGAGACUCAUAAGAAUAUAAAAGAAAAAGUUACAGUUAUAUGCUCAGACAUUAGCAUUGGUUGUAACUGAUGUUGAGAUUGGAGAACAUUAUUUCCUUAUUUUGUGUUCUCUUAUACAUAACUUUGUAACACAAACAACAAAGACACUGCAAACAUGGAUCUGGCACAGGGUACUUCCCUGACUUAAGUACAAAAAAGAAAUUAAAUUUAAUAUCUAAAGUUCCUGAAAAUAUUUUAUAGUCACACAGCAUGGACCAAGUCUGUUUCAGGAUGUGUGCUCUGUUUCGGAUGAUUGACCAGCAAGCCCCAAGGAUCUGCCUGUCUCCACCACCCCUCGACCUCCUAGCAUUGGAACUGCAGACAGGAGCUGACACACCCAGGCUUUCACAUGGAUGCUAAGAAUGAUCUAACUCAGGUCUCAGGCUUCCACUGCAAGUGUUGCACCCACUGAGCCAUCCAUCCCGCCCCCUCUACUCUUCGGAAGUUUCCAACCCUAAUAUGGUUUCCGACAAUUGUGUCCAACAAUAAAUAUGUUUUGCUUUAGGGAGGAAA
This 1570-nucleotide long non-coding RNA is filed under the name Mus musculus (house mouse). RNAcentral's name for it is "predicted gene 8883". Lineage: Eukaryota; Metazoa; Chordata; Mammalia; Rodentia; Muridae. The record is from RNAcentral.